CGGGGUGAGUAACGCGUGGGUAACCUGCCUCACACAGGGGGAUAACAGUUGGAAACGGCUGCUAAUACCGCAUAAGCGCACAGUACCGCAUGGUACAGUGUGAAAAACUCCGGUGGUGUGAGAUGGAUCCGCGUCUGAUUAGCUAGUUGGCAGGGCAACGGCCUACCAAGGCGACGAUCAGUAGCCGACCUGAGAGGGUGACCGGCCACAUUGGGACUGAGACACGGCCCAA
Molecule: ribosomal RNA, 232 nt
Filed under: uncultured bacterium
Lineage: Bacteria
Description: partial 16S ribosomal RNA
Rfam family: Bacterial small subunit ribosomal RNA
Source: RNAcentral